RNAcentral lists this ribosomal RNA (253 nucleotides) under uncultured bacterium. RNAcentral's name for it is "partial 16S ribosomal RNA". It matches the Rfam family "Bacterial small subunit ribosomal RNA", at positions 524 to 776 of the family's 1533-position model. The record is from RNAcentral.
UACGUAGGGUCCGAGCGUUGUUCGGAAUUACUGGGCGUAAAGGGCUCGUAGGCGGCCAACUAAGUCGGACGUGAAAUCCCUCGGCUUAACCGGGGAACUGCGUCCGAUACUGGAUGGCUUGAGGUUGGGAGAGGGAUGCGGAAUUCCAGGUGUAGCGGUGAAAUGCGUAGAUAUCGUAAGGAAGACCAGUGGCGAAGGCGGGUCUCUGGACAGUUCCUGACGCUGAGGCACGAAGGCCAGGGGAGCAAACGGG